Molecule: ribosomal RNA, 116 nt
Filed under: Streptococcus equi subsp. zooepidemicus MGCS10565
Lineage: Bacteria; Bacillati; Bacillota; Bacilli; Lactobacillales; Streptococcaceae
Source: RNAcentral
UAUUCAAUUUUGAGUGGAGAAGACUCGUAAGUUAAGUGACGAUAGCCUAGGAGAUACACCUGUACCCAUGCCGAACACAGUAGUUAAGCCCUAGAACGCCUGAAGUAGUUGGGGGU